UGGGGAAUAUUGGACAAUGGGCGAAAGCCUGAUCCAGCCAUGCCGCGUGUGUGAAGAAGGUCUUCGGAUUGUAAAGCACUUUAAGUUGGGAGGAAGGGCAGUAAGUUAAUACCUUGCUGUUUUGACGUUACCGACAGAAUAAGCACCGGCUAACUCUGUGCCAGCAGCCGCGGUAAUACAGAGGGUGCAAGCGUUAAUCGGAAUUACUGGGCGUAAAGGGCGCGUAGGCGGUCGAGUAAGUCGGAUGUGAAAUCCCCGGGCUUAACCUGGGAAUUGCAUUCGAUACUGCUUGGCUAGAGUGUGGAAGAGGGAAGCGGAAUUUCCGGUGUAGCGGUGAAAUGCGUAGAUAUCGGAAGGAACACCAGUGGCGAAGGCGGCUUCCUGGUCCAACACUGACGCUGAGGCGCGAAAGCGUGGGGAGCAAACAGGAUUAGAUACCCUGGUAGUCCCUGAGCGGGCUGGCAAGGCGCAU
Molecule: ribosomal RNA, 472 nt
Filed under: uncultured bacterium
Lineage: Bacteria
Description: bacterial SSU rRNA
Rfam family: Bacterial small subunit ribosomal RNA
Source: RNAcentral